Molecule: ribosomal RNA, 105 nt
Filed under: Clostridioides difficile
Lineage: Bacteria; Bacillati; Bacillota; Clostridia; Peptostreptococcales; Peptostreptococcaceae
Description: partial 16S ribosomal RNA
Rfam family: Bacterial small subunit ribosomal RNA
Source: RNAcentral
ACCUUUUGGAAGAAGUCGGCGAAGGUGGAAUCAAUAACUGGGGUGAAGUCGUAACAAGGUAGCCGUAUCGGAAGGUGCGGCUGGAUCACCUCCUUUCUAAGGAGA